GGGGCUGACAUGAAUUUCGACGGGAGUUAGAUGGCUCUAGUUGCAUACCGACUUGUGCUAAGUCGUAAAACUGGCUCUUAAAUAUAAACGCAAACAAUUCAAAUUACGCUCCUGCUUACGCUAAAGUCGCGUAAGUUUAUUAACUCUUUUGGAGCUGUUUUUAGUUAAGAUUCUAGCUAUUUUCUAAAAGCAUUAUUUCUGCUAGAUGCGGUUUUAUCUACCUAGAGUAAAACUUAAGCUAAAUAGGUUGCCUUGUUUAUAGAUUUUUGGGAGUUUUUAUAGACAAGAAAGUUUCUAAACCCAAGGAAGUAUGUAUAUCAGCUGUGUUGGUCUAGUUUUCGGACUGGGGUUUGAUUCCCCACAGCUCCACCA
Molecule: transfer-messenger RNA, 372 nt
Filed under: Helicobacteraceae
Lineage: Bacteria; Pseudomonadati; Campylobacterota; Epsilonproteobacteria; Campylobacterales
Also listed under: 1 other name
Description: Helicobacter_D sp003288905 Standard tmRNA
Rfam family: transfer-messenger RNA
About the family: Bacterial tmRNA, also known as 10Sa RNA or SsrA, is named for its dual tRNA and mRNA-like properties. Its role is to liberate the mRNA from a stalled ribosome. To accomplish this part of the tmRNA is used as a reading frame that ends in a translation stop signal.
Source: RNAcentral